This 483-nucleotide ribosomal RNA is filed under the name uncultured bacterium. RNAcentral's name for it is "partial 16S ribosomal RNA". It matches the Rfam family "Bacterial small subunit ribosomal RNA", at positions 30 to 506 of the family's 1533-position model. The record is from RNAcentral.
AUUGAACGCUGGCGGCAGGCCUAACACAUGCAAGUCGAGCGGAUGAAGGGAGCUUGCUCCUGGAUUCAGCGGCGGACGGGUGAGUAAUGCCUAGGAAUCUGCCUGGUAGUGGGGGAUAACGUCCGGAAACGGGCGCUAAUACCGCAUACGUCCUGAGGGAGAAAGUGGGGGAUCUUCGGACCUCACGCUAUCAGAUGAGCCUAGGUCGGAUUAGCUAGUUGGUGGGGUAAAGGCCUACCAAGGCGACGAUCCGUAACUGGUCUGAGAGGAUGAUCAGUCACACUGGAACUGGGAAACGGUCCAGACUCUUAGGGGAGGCAGCAGUGGGAAAUAUUGGACAAUGGGCGAAAGCUUGAUCAAGCCAUGCCGCGGGGGUGAAGAAGGCCUUCGGAUUGUAAAGAACUUUAAGUUGGGAGGAAGGGAAGUAAGUUAAUACCUGGCUGUUUUGACGUUACAAACAGAAUAAGAACCGGCUAACUUCGU